Molecule: ribosomal RNA, 52 nt
Filed under: Escherichia coli
Lineage: Bacteria; Pseudomonadati; Pseudomonadota; Gammaproteobacteria; Enterobacterales; Enterobacteriaceae
Description: partial 23S ribosomal RNA
Source: RNAcentral
UGUGAGGUUAAGCGACAAAUCGUACACGGUGGAUGCCCUGGCAGUCAGAGGC